This 2589-nucleotide ribosomal RNA is filed under the name Escherichia coli. Its description in RNAcentral is "partial 23S ribosomal RNA". It matches the Rfam family "Bacterial large subunit ribosomal RNA", at positions 371 to 2925 of the family's 2925-position model. Lineage: Bacteria; Pseudomonadati; Pseudomonadota; Gammaproteobacteria; Enterobacterales; Enterobacteriaceae. The record is from RNAcentral.
CCCCGUACACAAAAAUGCACAUGCUGUGAGCUCGAUGAGUAGGGCGGGACACGUGGUAUCCUGUCUGAAUAUGGGGGGACCAUCCUCCAAGGCUAAAUACUCCUGACUGACCGAUAGUGAACCAGUACCGUGAGGGAAAGGCGAAAAGAACCCCGGCGAGGGGAGUGAAAAAGAACCUGAAACCGUGUACGUACAAGCAGUGGGAGCACGCUUAGGCGUGUGACUGCGUACCUUUUGUAUAAUGGGUCAGCGACUUAUAUUCUGUAGCAAGGUUAACCGAAUAGGGGAGCCGAAGGGAAACCGAGUCUUAACUGGGCGUUAAGUUGCAGGGUAUAGACCCGAAACCCGGUGAUCUAGCCAUGGGCAGGUUGAAGGUUGGGUAACACUAACUGGAGGACCGAACCGACUAAUGUUGAAAAAUUAGCGGAUGACUUGUGGCUGGGGGUGAAAGGCCAAUCAAACCGGGAGAUAGCUGGUUCUCCCCGAAAGCUAUUUAGGUAGCGCCUCGUGAAUUCAUCUCCGGGGGUAGAGCACUGUUUCGGCAAGGGGGUCAUCCCGACUUACCAACCCGAUGCAAACUGCGAAUACCGGAGAAUGUUAUCACGGGAGACACACGGCGGGUGCUAACGUCCGUCGUGAAGAGGGAAACAACCCAGACCGCCAGCUAAGGUCCCAAAGUCAUGGUUAAGUGGGAAACGAUGUGGGAAGGCCCAGACAGCCAGGAUGUUGGCUUAGAAGCAGCCAUCAUUUAAAGAAAGCGUAAUAGCUCACUGGUCGAGUCGGCCUGCGCGGAAGAUGUAACGGGGCUAAACCAUGCACCGAAGCUGCGGCAGCGACACUGUGUGUUGUUGGGUAGGGGAGCGUUCUGUAAGCCUGUGAAGGUGUGCUGUGAGGUAUGCUGGAGGUAUCAGAAGUGCGAAUGCUGACAUAAGUAACGAUAAAGCGGGUGAAAAGCCCGCUCGCCGGAAGACCAAGGGUUCCUGUCCAACGUUAAUCGGGGCAGGGUGAGUCGACCCCUAAGGCGAGGCCGAAAGGCGUAGUCGAUGGGAAACAGGUUAAUAUUCCUGUACUUGGUGUUACUGCGAAGGGGGGACGGAGAAGGCUAUGUUGGCCGGGCGACGGUUGUCCCGGUUUAAGCGUGUAGGCUGGUUUUCCAGGCAAAUCCGGAAAAUCAAGGCUGAGGCGUGAUGACGAGGCACUACGGUGCUGAAGCAACAAAUGCCCUGCUUCCAGGAAAAGCCUCUAAGCAUCAGGUAACAUCAAAUCGUACCCCAAACCGACACAGGUGGUCAGGUAGAGAAUACCAAGGCGCUUGAGAGAACUCGGGUGAAGGAACUAGGCAAAAUGGUGCCGUAACUUCGGGAGAAGGCACGCUGAUAUGUAGGUGAAGUCCCUUGCGGAUGGAGCUGAAAUCAGUCGAAGAUACCAGCUGGCUGCAACUGUUUAUUAAAAACACAGCACUGUGCAAACACGAAAGUGGACGUAUACGGUGUGACGCCUGCCCGGUGCCGGAAGGUUAAUUGAUGGGGUUAGCGGUAACGCGAAGCUCUUGAUCGAAGCCCCGGUAAACGGCGGCCGUAACUAUAACGGUCCUAAGGUAGCGAAAUUCCUUGUCGGGUAAGUUCCGACCUGCACGAAUGGCGUAAUGAUGGCCAGGCUGUCUCCACCCGAGACUCAGUGAAAUUGAACUCGCUGUGAAGAUGCAGUGUACCCGCGGCAAGACGGAAAGACCCCGUGAACCUUUACUAUAGCUUGACACUGAACAUUGAGCCUUGAUGUGUAGGAUAGGUGGGAGGCUUUGAAGUGUGGACGCCAGUCUGCAUGGAGCCGACCUUGAAAUACCACCCUUUAAUGUUUGAUGUUCUAACGUUGACCCGUAAUCCGGGUUGCGGACAGUGUCUGGUGGGUAGUUUGACUGGGGCGGUCUCCUCCUAAAGAGUAACGGAGGAGCACGAAGGUUGGCUAAUCCUGGUCGGACAUCAGGAGGUUAGUGCAAUGGCAUAAGCCAGCUUGACUGCGAGCGUGACGGCGCGAGCAGGUGCGAAAGCAGGUCAUAGUGAUCCGGUGGUUCUGAAUGGAAGGGCCAUCGCUCAACGGAUAAAAGGUACUCCGGGGAUAACAGGCUGAUACCGCCCAAGAGUUCAUAUCGACGGCGGUGUUUGGCACCUCGAUGUCGGCUCAUCACAUCCUGGGGCUGAAGUAGGUCCCAAGGGUAUGGCUGUUCGCCAUUUAAAGUGGUACGCGAGCUGGGUUUAGAACGUCGUGAGACAGUUCGGUCCCUAUCUGCCGUGGGCGCUGGAGAACUGAGGGGGGCUGCUCCUAGUACGAGAGGACCGGAGUGGACGCAUCACUGGUGUUCGGGUUGUCAUGCCAAUGGCACUGCCCGGUAGCUAAAUGCGGAAGAGAUAAGUGCUGAAAGCAUCUAAGCACGAAACUUGCCCCGAGAUGAGUUCUCCCUGACUCCUUGAGAGUCCUGAAGGAACGUUGAAGACGACGACGUUGAUAGGCCGGGUGUGUAAGCGCAGCGAUGCGUUGAGCUAACCGGUACUAAUGAACCGUGAGGCUUAACCUUACAACGCCGAAGCUGUU